Molecule: ribosomal RNA, 344 nt
Filed under: uncultured eukaryote
Lineage: Eukaryota
Description: partial small subunit ribosomal RNA
Source: RNAcentral
CCUCGACGUUGUAAGUGACCUGCACACCGCAAAUUGAGAAGCCCAGCUCGUCGGCGUCACCGAGUUCGAACUCGGCACGAAUAUGGAACAGUUCGCCAUCGAUACCGGCCAGAAGGUUCUCACCGGGCUCGAUCGUCUCGUCGGUCCAUUCAUGUGCGUUCUUGUGGAGCAGUUCAAUCUCUUCCACAGGCUCGGCGAACAUGCGAAGACCUUCUUCCGUCGAGUGCAGAGUCAGCUCGACGGGGAAACCCAUCAUUUGGUUGAACGGCAUACCCGGCAAAUCUACCUGGCCCCAUGCCAUCUGAAUGCGCCGGCCGUCCUCUUCGGGAAUGUCGCUGAAGGUC